GACGAACGCUGGCGGCGUGCCUAAUACAUGCAAGUCGUGCGGACCUUUUAAAAGCUUGCUUUUAAAAGGUUAGCGGCGGACGGGUGAGUAACACGUGGGCAACCUGCCUGUAAGAUCGGGAUAACGCCGGGAAACCGGGGCUAAUACCGGAUAGUUUUUUCCUCCGCAUGGAGGAAAAAGGAAAGACGGCUUYUGCUGUCACUUACAGAUGGGCCCGCGGCGCAUUAGCUAGUUGGUGGGGUAACGGCUCACCAAGGCAACGAUGCGUAGCCGACCUGAGAGGGUGAUCGGCCACAUUGGGACUGAGACACGGCCCAAACUCCUACGGGAGGCAGCAGUAGGGAAUCUUCCGCAAUGGACGAAAGUCUGACGGAGCAACGCCGCGUGAGUGAAGAAGGCCUUCGGGUCGUAAAACUCUGUUGCCGGGGAAGAACAAGUGCCGUUCGAACAGGGCGGCGCCUUGACGGUACCCGGCCAGAAAGCCACGGCUAACUACGUGC
RNAcentral lists this ribosomal RNA (500 nucleotides) under Heyndrickxia coagulans. RNAcentral describes it as "bacterial SSU rRNA". It matches the Rfam family "Bacterial small subunit ribosomal RNA", at positions 28 to 508 of the family's 1533-position model. Lineage: Bacteria; Bacillati; Bacillota; Bacilli; Caryophanales; Bacillaceae. The record is from RNAcentral.